AUUGAACGCUGGCGGCAGGCCUAACACAUGCAAGUCGAGCGGAUGAAGGGAGCUUGCUCCUGGAUUCAGCGGCGGACGGGUGAGUAAUGCCUAGGAAUCUGCCUGGUAGUGGGGGAUAACGUCCGGAAACGGGCGCUAAUACCGCAUACGUCCUGAGGGAGAAAGUGGGGGAUCUUCGGACCUCACGCUAUCAGAUGAGCCUAGGUCGGAUUAGCUAGUUGGUGGGGUAAAGGCCUACCAAGGCGACGAUCCGUAACUGGUCUGAGAGGAUGAUCAGUCACACUGGAACUGAGACACGGUCCAGACUCCUACGGGAGGCAGCAGUGGGGAAUAUUAGAAAAUGGGCGAAAGCCUGAUCCAGCCAUGCCGCGUGUGUGAAGAAGGUCUUCGGAUUGUAAAGCACUUUAAGUUGGGAGGAAGGGCAGUAAGUUAAUACCUUGCUGUUUUGACGUUACCAACAGAAUAAGCACCGGCUAACUUCGUG
This 484-nucleotide ribosomal RNA is filed under the name uncultured bacterium. Its description in RNAcentral is "partial 16S ribosomal RNA". It matches the Rfam family "Bacterial small subunit ribosomal RNA", at positions 30 to 507 of the family's 1533-position model. The record is from RNAcentral.